Molecule: long non-coding RNA, 146 nt
Organism: Ipomoea nil (Japanese morning glory)
Lineage: Eukaryota; Viridiplantae; Streptophyta; Magnoliopsida; Solanales; Convolvulaceae
Exons: 3
Source: RefSeq, a predicted model, not a curated record
AUAUAAUAAUUGUCAUCAUUGAACUAAAUCAGGCAUUUUCGCAGCGAGCAGAACAUAGUUUGAAAUUGGAAUUAUAUACGUGGAUAUAUAUAGAACUAAGAAUAAAAGAAUUUCAUUAAUUUUAUAAUUUAGUACAUAAUACUCUC